Molecule: ribosomal RNA, 774 nt
Filed under: uncultured Neocallimastigales
Lineage: Eukaryota; Fungi; Neocallimastigomycota; Neocallimastigomycetes; Neocallimastigales
Description: partial large subunit ribosomal RNA
Rfam family: Eukaryotic large subunit ribosomal RNA
Source: RNAcentral
UAUCUCUGUAGAGUCUGCAUAUCAAUAAGCGGAGGAAAAGAAACUAACUAGGAUUCCCUCAGUAACGGCGAGUGAAGCGGGAAGAGCUCAAAUUUGAAAUCUUCAAGGUUCUACCUUGACGAAUUGUAGUUUAAAGAAGUGUUUUCUGUUGAAGUUUCGGUAAAAGUUCUUUGGAAUAGGACAUCAUAGAGGGUGAGAAUCCCGUAUUUGACCGUUAUUUUCAGCUGUGUGAUACACUUUCAAAGAGUCGGAUUGUUUGGGAAUGCAGUCCAAAAUGGGUGGUAAAUUUCAUCUAAAGCUAAAUAUUGGCGAGAGACCGAUAGCGAACAAGUACCGUGAGGGAAAGAUGAAAAGAACUUUGAAAAGAGAGUUAAACAGUACGUGAAAUUGUCAAAAGGGAAGCGUUUGACACCAGUGUUGUUUUCUCGAAAAUCAAUUAAAAAUGACUUGAUUUUGUGUUGUAUUGACCUUAAAAGCUUUCUUCACUUUUUUCAUGUCUUUUUUAAUGCACUUUUCGUUUAACAAGUCAACAUCAGUUUCUUUUGUUGUAAAAAGGUCAUUGGAAGGUGGCUUUCUUUUCGGAGAAAGUGUUUAUAGCCUUUGACUCCUGCAAUCGGAGAGAUUGAGGUCUGCAGCGUAGAUCCUUCGGGGUUAGAUACAUUUGUGCUAAGUUAUAGCCUUUCAUAGACAACUUGUUGACUAUGAUCAGUCAUGUAGCUUACUCGCUUAUGCUAUUUUACCUACGCUUAGGAUGUUGAGUCAUCACACAUCUCU